GGUUGAAAAAAACGUCUUGAUGUUGAAGUUGCUGAGCGGAAAACAAAGGUAGACUUGGGUAAAUCGUUGGAAACGUAGAACGUAUACCAGUUCUACGGGGUGAAGUGAAA
RNAcentral lists this long non-coding RNA (110 nucleotides) under Polistes fuscatus (common paper wasp). RNAcentral describes it as "uncharacterized LOC122523704". Lineage: Eukaryota; Metazoa; Arthropoda; Insecta; Hymenoptera; Vespidae. The record is from RNAcentral.